This is an RNA transcript of Melopsittacus undulatus (budgerigar), 1348 nucleotides long. It is a transcript of the gene named transforming growth factor alpha, with no coding region annotated. The record is from RefSeq and is a predicted model, not a curated record. The transcript has 3 exons. Lineage: Eukaryota; Metazoa; Chordata; Aves; Psittaciformes; Psittaculidae.
CGUACCCCGGUACCGCCGUACCCCGAGCGCCCACCGGCGGCUCAAGGCAGGGGUCGAGCCGCCCCCAGCCCCGUUUGGGACGGGACUGAAGGAGGGGGGUGAUUGGGGCUGCGCUCCCCAAAACUUUCCCAUCCCGCCGCAGCAUCCCUAUGGAGGGGUGGGACGGGAAGGUGGUGAUGGGGCCACGCAGGGAAUCCGUCGCUUUAAUCCUCCCGAGUCUGGCUGCGGUCCCGGCCGGAGUUCGUUGCCGAACCGCUCCUCGCCUUCGCCCCGACGGGGCAAGGAGCCCUCCGGUCCCGUCCGCUUGGCUUAGGGCAGAGGCAAUGCCCGGCGGCUGCCGGUGGAGCGGAGGGGACGUUGUUUGCGUGCGUGCGGACCCGGGGGAUGCUGCGAUGGGGACGGAUCCAGACACGCUCCCCAGCCUGGAGAUGGGGUCGGUGCGGAGAGCACGGACUGGGAUCUGUGUGUGUGUGAUGGGAAGGUGGCAGCGCUCGCUGCGCUGUGCUUGGGGUUUUCCUGUUGUCCCAAUGGAGCGUGGAGCAUUCCCAGCCCUGUGGGGGCCGAGGCAGCGCAGGGAGAGGCUCUUUGAUGGGGUCGGGAAAGCGCCCGGUUUUGGCCCCCCCUCCAGCCCUUCUCCCUUCAGCGCUGCCGCUUUGGCUCUGGACCCGAGUGCCUCCUGCAUCCGCUCCUCUGGGAUGGCUCCGUCCCGAGCAUCCCUCCCCGCAGGGACCGGUUGUGCCAUCAGCCCUAUCCCUCCUCCAGAGGGUCCCAUCAGCUCACCCUGGGGAUGCCAACGUCCCCUCUGCUCCCUGCCCGUGUGGCUUCGGACCUCUCCAACCCAUUUUAGGGGCUGGGCUGUGGAUUUCCCACCUCAAUCCCGCAUCCAGAUGGCUGCUCCCGGCCUCCAGGCUGGGAUGGGUCCAAGCCACCCCAGAUGCUGCGCAGGGAGAGGAGCCCUUUAUAAACCACAUCAAACCAGAAGCUCGGAGCAUCCGCUUAAAGCACGAGGGAAAAGGGGAACCUCCUCGUCCGUUCACCUGACGGCUGCCAAGGGCUGGUCUGUGAAGCCAAGAGGAAAAGCAGAGCCAAGGGGAUGAGAAGGGAAAACCUGGAGCAGGGAACAGACCCCAGCAAUAACAGGGAGCUCCUCAUGAAGAACAAGGGGUGAGGCUGAGCCCUUCACUGGUGCCUGGUGGUUAAUGUGCUGGGGAUGGAGCCGUGUUUGCCCAUCACAAGUUGGGUGUGCUGCUCGCUGCAUGCCAUGCGCUGGAGAACACCACAGCAGACCGGAGUGCUCCUGGCCCACCAGUGGCAGCAGCAGUGAGGUCCCACUUCAACGACUGUCCCG